GACGAACGCUGGCGGCGUGCUUAACACAUGCAAGUCGAACGGUGAAGGGGUCUACUUUUGUGGGCCCUGGAUGAGUGGCGAACGGGUGAGUAACACGUGAGUAACCUGCCCCCUUCUUCUGGAUAACCGCAUGAAAGUGUGGCUAAUACGGGAUAUUCUGGGUCUGUCGCAUGAUGGGUCUGGGAAAGAUUGCGCCUUUGGGUGUUUUUGGUGGGGGAUGGGCUCGCGGCCUAUCAGCUUGUUGGUGGGGUGAUGGCCUACCAAGGCGGUGACGGGUAGCCGGCCUGAGAGGGUGGACGGUCACACUGGGACUGAGACACGGCCCAGACUCCUACGGGAGGCAGCAGUGGGGAAUAUUGCACAAUGGGCGCAAGCCUGAUGCAGCGACGCCGCGUGAGGGAGGGAGGCCUUCGGGUUGUAAACCUCUUUCGCCAGUGAAGCAGGCCUGCUCCUUGUGGGUGGGUUGACGGUAGCUGGAGAAGAAGCGCCGGCUAACUACGUG
Molecule: ribosomal RNA, 502 nt
Filed under: uncultured bacterium
Lineage: Bacteria
Description: partial 16S ribosomal RNA
Rfam family: Bacterial small subunit ribosomal RNA
Source: RNAcentral